RNAcentral lists this ribosomal RNA (253 nucleotides) under uncultured bacterium. Its description in RNAcentral is "partial 16S ribosomal RNA". It matches the Rfam family "Bacterial small subunit ribosomal RNA", at positions 524 to 776 of the family's 1533-position model. The record is from RNAcentral.
UACGAAGGGGGCUAGCGUUGCUCGGAAUCACUGGGCGUAAAGGGUGCGUAGGCGGGUCUUUAAGUCAGGGGUGAAAUCCUGGAGCUCAACUCCAGAACUGCCUUUGAUACUGAGGAUCUUGAGUUCGGGAGAGGUGAGUGGAACUGCGAGUGUAGAGGUGAAAUUCGUAGAUAUUCGGAGGAACACCAGUGGCGAAGGCGGCUCACUGGCUCGGUACUGACGCUGAGGUGCGAAAGCGUGGGGAGCAAACAGG